RNAcentral lists this ribosomal RNA (468 nucleotides) under uncultured bacterium. Its description in RNAcentral is "partial 16S ribosomal RNA". It matches the Rfam family "Bacterial small subunit ribosomal RNA", at positions 28 to 507 of the family's 1533-position model. The record is from RNAcentral.
GACGAACGCUGGCGGCGUGCUUAACACAUGCAAGUCGAACGGAAAGGCCCUGCUUUUGUGGGGUGCUCGAGUGGCGAACGGGUGAGUAACACGUGAGUAACCUGCCCUUGACUUUGGGAUAACUUCAGGAAACUGGGGCUAAUACCGGAUAGGAGCUCCUGCUGCAUGGUGGGGGUUGGAAAGUUUCGGCGGUUGGGGAUGGACUCGCGGCUUAUCAGCUUGUUGGUGGGGUAGUGGCUUACCAAGGCUUUGACGGGUAGCCGGCCUGAGAGGGUGACCGGCCACAAUGGGACUGAGAUACGGACCAGACUCCUACGGGAGGCAGCAGUGGGGAAUAUUGCACAGUGGGCGGAAGCCUGAUGCGGAAGCGCCGCGUGCGGGAUGACGGCCUUCGGGUUGUAAACCGCUUUCGCCUGUGACGAAGCGUGAGUGACGGUAAUGGGUAAAGAAGCACCGGCUAACUACGUG